This 398-nucleotide ribosomal RNA is filed under the name uncultured bacterium. RNAcentral's name for it is "partial 16S ribosomal RNA". It matches the Rfam family "Bacterial small subunit ribosomal RNA", at positions 360 to 775 of the family's 1533-position model. The record is from RNAcentral.
AAUCUUGCGCAAUGGGCGAAAGCCUGACGCAGCCAUGCCGCGUGAAUGAUGAAGGUCUGAGGAGUGUAAAAUUCUUUCACCGGGGACGAUAAUGACGGUACCCGGAGAAGAAGCCCCGGCUAACUUCGUGCCAGCAGCCGCGGUAAUACGAAGGGGGCUAGCGUUGCUCGGAAUUACUGGGCGUAAAGCGCGCGUAGGCGGAGCGUUAAUUCAGAGGUGAAAUCCCAGGGCUCAACCCUGGGACUGCCUUUGAUACUGGCGAUCUUGAGUAUGAGAGGGGUAUGUGGAACUCCGAGUGUAGAGGUGAAAUUCGUAGAUAUUCGGAAGAACACCAGUGGCGAAGGCGACAUACUGGCUCAUUACUGACGCUGAGGCGCGAAAGCGUGGGGAGCAAACAG